This 254-nucleotide ribosomal RNA is filed under the name uncultured bacterium. RNAcentral's name for it is "partial 16S ribosomal RNA". It matches the Rfam family "Bacterial small subunit ribosomal RNA", at positions 524 to 776 of the family's 1533-position model. The record is from RNAcentral.
CACGUAGGGUGCGAGCGUUGUCCGGAAUUAUUGGGCGUAAAGAGCUCGUAGGCGGUGUGUCGCGUCGGCCGUGAAAACCUGCAGCUUAACUGUGGGCUUGCGGUCGAUACGGGCAUGACUGGAGUUCGGUAGGGGAGACUGGAAUUCCUGGUGUAGCGGUGAAAUGCGCAGAUAUCAGGAGGAACACCGGUGGCGAAGGCGGGUCUCUGGGCCGAUACUGACGCUGAGGAGCGAAAGCGUGGGGAGCGAACAGG